CCAGGGAGAGACAAAGAGGGGUGGCAGGGCAGUAUGAGAAGGCUCUUUAGCAGUUAUCUUUUCCAGCUAGAGCAUCUUGGCCUACCUAGCAUCCCCACCCCUCCAGAGUGGUCCUUUGUGAUGUCUAAGCUCCCCUUAACCACCAUUGGCUGCAGUGAGUGCCCUGCUGACUAAACAGAGCAGAAGGGGUGUGACUCCCCAUUGUUCUGGGAGAGGUAUAUAUACAGAGGACAAACUCCUGGGGUUAGACAACUGAGAGGCUGCAAGAUGGCAAAAGUGAUGAAGAAAUCAUGGAAACCACAAACCACAAGCACCAAGCGGUGGAAGAAGAGGAAGACCACCUCUCAACCCAGAUCAAGAGGCAUUAGCAAGGUGCUAAAGACAUACAAGAAGAUGAAAAGAUCACUUCACAUGAGUUUAAGAAAAAAAUACUCUCCUAAAGUUAUAACUACUUCAAGAAGAAAGAAGAGAGCAAGGAGGGCCAAUUAGUUUCACCCAUAGACUGAGCCAAAAGCAGCCAGGCCAGACCCAACGGACUCUAUAGAACUACACCACUCCAAGACAAGACCGGUGGAAACACUACAUAUAGAGCAAGCUUCAGAGACCUCAGACGGUCUGCCUCUAGAGUCCUGGCUGCGGAGAAGUGGCCAACUGCGUAGAGACUGAUACAGAUGCUAAUAUGAAACAUGGAACACAAAUGGAGGUGAUUAAAAUAAAACCAACAGGGUGUAAGAAGCCCCUCCAAAAAAUAAAAUCAGGCAUUCUGCGUAGAAAUGAA
This is a long non-coding RNA of Herpailurus yagouaroundi (jaguarundi), 778 nucleotides long. RefSeq lists it as uncharacterized. The transcript has 2 exons. The record is from RefSeq and is a predicted model, not a curated record. Lineage: Eukaryota; Metazoa; Chordata; Mammalia; Carnivora; Felidae.